This 493-nucleotide ribosomal RNA is filed under the name uncultured bacterium. RNAcentral's name for it is "partial 16S ribosomal RNA". It matches the Rfam family "Bacterial small subunit ribosomal RNA", at positions 28 to 506 of the family's 1533-position model. The record is from RNAcentral.
GACGAACGCUGGCGGCGCGCUUAACACAUGCAAGUCGAACGGAAAGGCCUGCUUUCCCUUGUGGAUUGCGGGUACUCGAGUGGCGAACGGGUGAGUAACACGUGAGUGAUCUGCCCCCAACUUGGGUAUAAGCCUGGGAAACUGGGUCUAAUUCCCGAUAGGACUGCAGGGUGGUGCCUGUGGUGGAAAACGAUUUUCUAGUGGUUGGGGAUGAGCUCGCGGCCUAUCAGCUUGUUGGUGGGGUAAUGGCCUACCAAGGCGGCGACGGGUAGCCGGCCUGAGAGGGGGGAGGGCAAAAUUGGGAAGGGGAAACGGCCAAGACUCCAAGGGGGGGCAGAGGGGGGGAAUAUGGAAAAAUGGGGGGAAGCCUGAGGCAGGGAAGCCGGGGGGGGGAGGAGGGCCUUGGGGUGGUAAACCCCUUUCGACCGGGAGGAAGACAACUGGUUGGAAGGGGGGGGAGGGUGGGGGGAAAAGAAGCACCGGCUAACUACGU